Molecule: ribosomal RNA, 253 nt
Filed under: uncultured bacterium
Lineage: Bacteria
Description: partial 16S ribosomal RNA
Rfam family: Bacterial small subunit ribosomal RNA
Source: RNAcentral
UACAGAGGGUGCGAGCGUUAAUCGGAAUUACUGGGCGUAAAGCGCGUGUAGGCUGCUCUGCAAGUCGGAUGUGAAAGCCCUGGGCUCAACCUAGGAAGUGCAUUCGAAACUGCAGAGCUGGAGUCCUGGAGAGGAAGGCGGAAUUCUCGGUGUAGAGGUGAAAUUCGUAGAUAUCGAGAGGAACACCGGUGGCGAAGGCGGCCUUCUGGACAGUGACUGACGCUGAGACGCGAAAGCGUGGGGAGCAAACAGG